CAUCAUACCAUGCAGUCGAACGAUGAAGCCCAGCUUGCUGGGUGGAUUAGUGGCGAACGGGUGAGUAACACGUGAGUAACCUGCCCUUAACUCUGGGAUAAGCCUGGGAAACUGGGUCUAAUACCGGAUAGGAGCGCCUACCGCAUGGUGGGUGUUGGAAAGAUUUAUCGGUUUUGGAUGGACUCGCGGCCUAUCAGCUUGUUGGUGAGGUAAUGGCUCACCAAGGCGACGACGGGUAGCCGGCCUGAGAGGGUGACCGGCCACACUGGGACUGAGACACGGCCCAGACUCCUACGGGAGGCAGCAGUGGGGAAUAUUGCACAAUGGGCGAAAGCCUGAUGCAGCGACGCCGCGUGAGGGAUGACGGCCUUCGGGUUGUAAACCUCUUUCAGUAGGGAAGAAGCGAAAGUGACGGUACCUGCAGAAGAAGCACCGGCUAACUACGUGCCAGCAGCCGCGGUAAUACGUAGGGUGCGAGCGUUAUCCGGAAUUAUUGGGCGUAAAGAGCUCGUAGGCGGUUUGUCGCGUCUGUCGUGAAAGUCCGGGGCUUAACCCCGGAUCUGCGGUGGGUACGGGCAGACUAGAGUGCAGUAGGGGAGACUGGAAUUCCUGGUGUAGCGGUGGAAUGCGCAGAUAUCAGGAGGAACACCGAUGGCGAAGGCAGGUCUCUGGGCUGUAACUGACGCUGAGGAGCGAAAGCAUGGGGAGCGAACAGGAUUAGAUACCCUGGUAGUCCAUGCCGUAAACGUUGGGCACUAGGUGUGGGGACCAUUCCACGGUUUCCGCGCCGCAGCUAACGCAUUAAGUGCCCCGCCUGGGGAGUACGGCCGCAAGGCUAAAACUCAAAGGAAUUGACGGGGGCCCGCACAAGCGGCGGAGCAUGCGGAUUAAUUCGAUGCAACGCGAAGAACCUUACCAAGGCUUGACAUGUUCUCGAUCGCCGUAGAGAUACGGUUUCCCCUUUGGGGCGGGUUCACAGGUGGUGCAUGGUUGUCGUCAGCUCGUGUCGUGAGAUGUUGGGUUAAGUCCCGCAACGAGCGCAACCCUCGUUCCAUGUUGCCAGCACGUCGUGGUGGGGACUCAUGGGAAACUGCCGGGGUCAACUCGGAGGAAGGGGAGGACGACGUCAAAUCAUCAUGCCCCUUAUGUCUGGGGCUUCCGCAUGCUACAUGGCCGGUACAAUGGGUUGCCAUACUUUGAGGUG
Molecule: ribosomal RNA, 1204 nt
Filed under: bacterium
Lineage: Bacteria
Description: bacterial SSU rRNA
Rfam family: Bacterial small subunit ribosomal RNA
Source: RNAcentral